This 3423-nucleotide long non-coding RNA is filed under the name Homo sapiens (human). RNAcentral describes it as "HSALNT0315299". The record is from RNAcentral. Lineage: Eukaryota; Metazoa; Chordata; Mammalia; Primates; Hominidae.
AGCCACUGUGCCCAGACUAAUUGUUGUUUUUUAACAAUAUAGUUUCUAUAUUGAUUUCACAAGCCUCCUUUUCCAUGUGUUGAAAUCCAUGGAUUGUAUUAGAAAGACAUUUGACCUAUUGGGGGAGAUAGAUUAUUAUUGUUUUUAAAUCAAUUAGACAUCUAGCUAGGCUGAAAACAACCACUAAAAGGUUUUCGUUUGUUUACUUGUUUUUGCCUGGCAGCCAUACCACCAAAGUACAAAGGCUUGUUUAAAAAAAAAUCUGUUUUGCCUAUCUAAACCUCUCUAAAAGGAAGGAAAUAAAAUUUUGUAACUUUCCAAGAAGUGAAAACCAAUUAACAUUUUAAAGUCACAUUACACUCAUAACCUCUAAUACAUUAUUUUCAGAAGAGCCAUUUCUGCUGAGUCAGAAUAUAAAAUAGGAUUCAAAUACCUAUUUCCUUAAUAGAUUUAAAUGACUGUGACUAACAAUCUCAAUAUUUCUUGUUUUAUGGAAAAAUUUUAGUUUCUCAAGGAUCCCAUGGGGAUUGGACAUGAUGGUGUUUAAGGGCCUCUAACGAUCCCUGCCUUGGAUAUGUGUAGUCCCCUCCCACACUGCAUCAGGAUUGGUCUGUGAAUACGGCAGAAAUGAUGGGGAAGCCAGAUGCUGUGUUGUGAGGACAGUCAGGCAGCCCCAUGGAGAGGCCCAUGUGGCAAGGCAUUGAGGACUUCUGCCAAUAGCCAUAUGAAUGACCAUCUUGGAAGUAGGUGCUCCAGCCCUGGAUAAACCUUCAGAUGACUGCAGCCCCUGCUCAGAGCUUGACUGCAACCCCAUCAGAGACCCUGAGCCUGAGACACUCAGCUAAGUCACUCGGAGGUUCCUAACCUACAGAAACUGUGUGAAAUAAUAAAUGUUUAUUGUUUUAAGCCGCCAAGGUUUUGGGGUAAUUUGUGAUGGAGUAACAGAUAACUAAUACAAAGACCCUUUCAAAAGUGAGAUUAAUUGAUUCUCUGAUUCUCAUACCACACUGGUAAUAGCUGCCAUGUGAAAUAUUCUUACUGGAAGCCAUGGGAAGUUUUAAAUCUCUCCAGAUUCCUGCACAUUGCUUGCAUUAAUUAAUACAUAUACCUGUGUAUAUCCAUAUAUACAAAGUUAAUGCAUUUUUUUCUAAACAUUUUUUGAAAUUUAUUUUCAAUUUUAAAGACAAUAUAUGCUUAUUAAAGAAAAUGUGAGGGGAACGUUAAAAAAGAUUACCCAUAGUUCUAACACCCAUAGUUCUAACAUCUAUAGUUAGCACAUUUGAGUGUACUUCUCUAUAUUUUCUUUCAGGGUGUUUAAAAAAGUACUUGUGAUCAUAUGCUGUAUAACCAUAUUUUCACCAAGUCAAAUCCACUUCCUUUAAAGGCAGAGCCCAAUAAUGUGCUUUGCUCAUCCUUGUCAUUCAGCUCCCUGCUCCGAGUGACAGGUUCUCAGAGAAAUCAGAUGCAACUAUGUCCUUAGCGUGCAGAUGGCUCAUGAGGGUGUCAUGUGUUUGGAGCCAGGCCCUGGCAGGGAGUGACCAGUGCCCGGGGUGCCAGACACAUGGAAGAUGAUUUACAUCAACAGGCAGUUCCCUCUGUGCAUAUUCUUUUUAUUUUCAGUACUAACAUCUGUGUGAAGGGCCAACCCCUGUCCCCCACUAACUUAUAUUUAUAUCCACAAAUUUCUUAUGGGAAUCAACACUCCCUUAUUCUCUGCUCUUCAUAGAGGGCUGCAAUGCUGGCAAAGUGUAGGCAUCAGGACCCUCUCCAAGGCCCUGAGAGGGGUUCUACAAAAUGUUCAGAUGGUUAUACGUUUUUGCAAAAUUUGCAAAAAUAAAAAACUUGAAUCACAAUUGGUUAAGACUGCUACAUCUUUCCACUCUGCCCCAUCCCCGAACCCAACACACAUAUACUUUCCUUUAUGCAGGGUGGUGCUGAGUGGUCAUGUGAGAGCAUUUUAUUGUUAUGAUUUUUUUUUUUUAACAGAGCCUGAAAAAUUGUGUAAGUUCCAGGACUUAAAAACCUGGAUAUACCUCUUUGUCUCUGAAUUGCAAAUAUAUACAUAAUAUAUUUUUAAUAUAAAUAUAUAUCUGUGGUAUUUAUAUAUAUAUAUUAACAGCUUUUUCAAUUGCUUUGUACUGUGAACAUAAUUUAUUAUUUGCUAGCCUUAUUUGUUAAGUCAGAGGAAAUUUCAGAGCCAUGAGGGUUACAGAAUGAGAGGAUUUCUAAUGAGCUCAAUGUGUUCUAAAUGGUUUUAUGUGAUUCCCAGGUUUGCUUCAUCAGAAUCCAUAGGUUCUCAAGUGGCGCUCCUCCUUGUGCUCGCAGAACCCCGCUUAUUGACUCUACAGAUACUUUUUGCAGAAAAUGGCUGCCUCUUUGCUGUCUACUGUGACUCUUCAACUAGGAAAGAACCAAAUAGAUUUAACCUACUCAACUCGACACUUCUGAACAAAAAAGAAUGCAGAAUAUAUAGCACCAACCAGGUGGCAGACCUGAUCUCAAUCCCAGCUUUCUCCCUGUCCACUCCUGCUUCCUCCUCCCUUUAUCCUUCACAGGCUAAGCAUUAAACAUCAAGUAAGUAAACAUCAGGUCCCAUCUAAGCAUCGGCUUCUAUGAGCAUCUGAACGGACAUACGUACUCACUGUUAAAAAUGAGCAAAUCCAGAAGGGCAUAUACGAAGAAGCCACAGUUCCUCCCCUUAUUCUCUCCUGCCCUGCAUUUCCUCACAUGAGGAAACACUUUAAACAGUUUCUCUUAUAGCUCUUUGACAGUUAGUUCCAUACUCCUAAAAUAAGUUUAUGCCAUGCUUAUUAUUUAUUUGAUAUAUAUUUUAGAUAUUUGUUAUAUACACAUAAAUAUAUGUAAUAUAUUUGUUAUCUUUUUCCAUAAUAUGUUUAUGCCAUGUCUUUCUUUUCUUUUUUAACCAUUGAAGUAUAAUGGACACAAAAUAAACUGUUUAUUUUUAAUGUGAGCAGUCUGAUGAAUUUUGACAUUUAUAUAUGCCACAAUCAAGCUAUUAAAAAGGGCAAGGGGAAACUUUUCAGGGGUGAGCAUAUUCAUCAUCCCUGAAAGUUUCCUCAUGCUCCUUUUAAUACCCCCACCACCUCUCUCCAUACUCUCUGAUCUGUUUUCUGUCACUAUAAGUUAGUUUUCAUUUUUCAAUUUUAAAUAAAUGGAAUCUUAUAGUAUGUGGUAUUGUUUUUCUGGCUUCUUUCGCUCAGCAUAAUUAAUCUGAGAUUCAACCAUGUAGUUGCAUGUACCUAAUUCAUUCUUUUUUGUUACUAAUAUAUCUCAUUGUAUAGAUACAGCAUGAUUUGUUUAUUCAUUCAUCUUUUGGUGGACAUUUGGGUUGUUUCCAGUAUGGGGCUAUCACAAAUAAAGUUGCGAUGAACAUUUUUACACAAAUGUUUGUAUAGAUUUACA